RNAcentral lists this ribosomal RNA (229 nucleotides) under uncultured bacterium. Its description in RNAcentral is "partial 16S ribosomal RNA". It matches the Rfam family "Bacterial small subunit ribosomal RNA", at positions 568 to 796 of the family's 1533-position model. The record is from RNAcentral.
CGUGUAGGCGGUGUAGUAAGUCGGAUGUGAAAUCUCCGGGCUCAACCGAGGAACUGCCUGCGAAACUGCAUUGCUUGAGUCCGGGAGGGGGGAGCGGAAUUCCAAGUGUAGCGGUGAAAUGCGUAGAUACUUGGAGGAACACCGGUGGCGAAGGCGGCUCCCUGGACCGGUACUGACACUGAGGUGCGAAAGCGUGGGUAGCAAACAGGAUUAGAUACCCUGGUAGUCC